RNAcentral lists this ribosomal RNA (253 nucleotides) under uncultured bacterium. RNAcentral's name for it is "partial 16S ribosomal RNA". It matches the Rfam family "Bacterial small subunit ribosomal RNA", at positions 524 to 776 of the family's 1533-position model. The record is from RNAcentral.
UACGGAGGGUGCAAGCGUUAUCCGGAUUCACUGGGUUGAAAGGGUGCGUAGGCGGACAGGUAAGUCAGUGGUGAAAUCUCCGAGCUUAACUCGGAAACUGCCUUUGAUACUCUCUGUCUUGAAUAUGGUGGAGGUAAGCGGAAUAUGUCAUGUAGCGGUGAAAUGCUUAGAGAUGACAUAGAACACCUAUUGCGAAGGCAGCUUACUACGCCUAUAUUGACGCUGAGGCACGAAAGCGUGGGGAUCAAACAGG